This 252-nucleotide ribosomal RNA is filed under the name uncultured bacterium. RNAcentral's name for it is "partial 16S ribosomal RNA". It matches the Rfam family "Bacterial small subunit ribosomal RNA", at positions 524 to 776 of the family's 1533-position model. The record is from RNAcentral.
UACGGAGGAUGCGAGCGUUAUCCGGAUUUAUUGGGUUUAAAGGGUGCGUAGGCGGGAUGCCAAGUCAGCGGUAAAAAUGCGGUGCUCAACGCCGUCGAGCCGUUGAAACUGGCGUUCUUGAGUGGGCGAGAAGUAUGCGGAAUGCGUGGUGUAGCGGUGAAAUGCAUAGAUAUCACGCAGAACCCCGAUUGCGAAGGCAGCAUACCGGCGCCCUACUGACGCUGAGGCACGAAAGCGUGGGUAUCGAACAGG